Molecule: ribosomal RNA, 839 nt
Filed under: uncultured archaeon
Lineage: Archaea
Description: bacterial SSU rRNA
Rfam family: Archaeal small subunit ribosomal RNA
Source: RNAcentral
ACUGCUCAGUAACACGUGGAUAACCUGCCCUUGGGACCGGCAUAACCCCGGGAAACUGGGGAUAAUUCCGGAUACCGCAUAUAUGCUGGAAUGCUUUAUGCGUGAAAUGGAUUCGUCUGCCCAAGGAUGGGUCUGCGGCCUAUCAGGUAGUAGUGGGUGUAAUGUACCUACUAGCCAACGACGGGUACGGGUUGUGAGAGCAAGAGCCCGGAGAUGGAUUCUGAGACAUGAAUCCAGGCCCUACGGGGCGCAGCAGGCGCGAAAACUUUACAAUGCGGGAAACCGUGAUAAGGGGACACCGAGUGCCAGCAACAUUUGUUGGCUGUCCAGGUGUGUAAACUACACCUGUUAGCAAGGGCCGGGCAAGACCGGUGCCAGCCGCCGCGGUAACACCGGCGGCCCGAGUGGUGAUCGUGAUUAUUGGGUCUAAAGGGUCCGUAGCCGGUUUGGUCAGUCCUCCGGGAAAUCUGACGGCUUAACCGUUAGGCUUUCGGGGGAUACUGCCAGGCUUGGAACCGGGAGAGGUAAGAGGUACUACAGGGGUAGGAGUGAAAUCUUGUAAUCCCUGUGGGACCACCUGUGGCGAAGGCGUCUUACCAGAACGGGUUCGACGGUGAGGGACGAAAGCUGGGGGCACGAACCGGAUUAGAUACCCGGGUAGUCCCAGCCGUAAACGAUGCUCGCUAGGUGUCAGGCAUGGCGCGACCGUGUCUGGUGCCGCAGGGAAGCCGUGAAGCGAGCCACCUGGGAAGUACGGCCGCAAGGCUGAAACUUAAAGGAAUUGGCGGGGGAGCACAACAACGGGUGGAGCCUGCGGUUUAAUUGGAGUCAACGCCGGA